This 310-nucleotide ribosomal RNA is filed under the name uncultured bacterium. RNAcentral's name for it is "bacterial SSU rRNA". It matches the Rfam family "Bacterial small subunit ribosomal RNA", at positions 28 to 334 of the family's 1533-position model. The record is from RNAcentral.
GACGAACGCUGGCGGUAGGCCUAACACAUGCAAGUCGAACGGCAGCACAGAGGAGCUUGCUCCUUGGGUGGCGAGUGGCGGACGGGUGAGGAAUACAUCGGAAUCUACUCUGUCGUGGGGGAUAACGUAGGGAAACUUACGCUAAUACCGCAUACGACCUACGGGUGAAAGCAGGGGAUCUUCGGACCUUGCGCGAUUGAAUGAGCCGAUGUCGGAUUAGCUAGUUGGCGGGGUAAAGGCCCACCAAGGCGACGAUCCGUAGCUGGUCUGAGAGGAUGAUCAGCCACACUGGAACUGAGACACGGUCCAG